AACGAACGCUGGCGGCAUGCCUAACACAUGCAAGUCGAACGAGACCUUCGGGUCUAGUGGCGCACGGGUGCGUAACGCGUGGGAACCUGCCCUUAGGUUCGGAAUAACUCCCCGAAAGGGGUGCUAAUACCGGAUAAUGUCUUCGGACCAAAGAUUUAUCGCCUUUGGAUGGGCCCGCGUUGGAUUAGCUAGUUGGUAGGGUAAAAGCCUACCAAGGCGACGAUCCAUAGCUGGUCUGAGAGGAUGAUCAGCCACACUGGGACUGAGACACGGCCCAGACUCCUACGGGAGGCAGCAGUGGGGAAUAUUGGACAAUGGGCGAAAGCCUGAUCCAGCAAUGCCGCGUGAGUGAUGAAGGCCUUAGGGUGGUAAAGCUCUUUUACCCGGGAUGAUAAUGACAGUACCGGGAGAAUAAGCUCCGGCUAACUCCGUG
Molecule: ribosomal RNA, 433 nt
Filed under: uncultured bacterium
Lineage: Bacteria
Description: partial 16S ribosomal RNA
Rfam family: Bacterial small subunit ribosomal RNA
Source: RNAcentral